AGUAAAAGCUCCUUUUUCCCCGGCUGGGGUCCUUAUAAAUUGGUGGUCGCCCUUGUCUUUGUCCUUCUUCUUCCAUUCGCAAGGGAGAGAGAGAUUUUGAUUUUGUAUGAAUAUAUAUUAGAAGGAUGAUAUUUUUGGCAAUAAAUCGUCCGAGGGAGAAGGGCUAAAGGCUAUCAAUGCCACUGAAGAAAUUAACAAAUUACUAAUGUUUUAAGCUUGGAAAGAUCGAGGCACACAGAUGGAGCCAGGCAAUAUAAUAUACUACUACUAGUUUUUUCUGCUCUUAAUUACUGUUAAUUUCUUGUUUCUUUUAUUUUCCUUUAUCCUUUUCUUCUGUUAGAUGUUAUAAUUAAUUUUUGUUAUAAAGAUGAGGAAAAGAGGAGUGAAUUAAAGCAGUGUUUUUAAUCGUUAAGUAUAUAUAAACAACUCAAAGUAAAACAAUUGUAUUCACAACAUAUAUUUUGUUGAAUGUUAAUUGUUUGUAUUCUUUUCUUAUGA
This 498-nucleotide long non-coding RNA is filed under the name Solanum tuberosum (potato). RNAcentral describes it as "long non-coding RNA (STUB_LNC003190)". The record is from RNAcentral. Lineage: Eukaryota; Viridiplantae; Streptophyta; Magnoliopsida; Solanales; Solanaceae.